GCACUGAUGAGGAGUCCCACAAUAGGACGAAACGGUUGUCCAAUGC
Molecule: non-coding RNA, 46 nt
Filed under: Schistosoma mansoni
Lineage: Eukaryota; Metazoa; Platyhelminthes; Trematoda; Strigeidida; Schistosomatidae
Source: RNAcentral